GUGAGAAAUCACUGCUAAAACCGCAUAUGCCGUGAACAUCGCAUGAUGAAAACGGGAAAAGAGCAAUCUGCUAAUAGAUGGGCUUGCGUCUGAUUAGCUAGUUGGUGUGGUAAAGGCAUACCAAGGCAACGAUCAGUAGCCGGACUGAGAGGUUGAACGGCCACAUUGGGACUGAGAUACGGCCCAGACUCCUACGGGAGGCAGCAGUCGGGAAUAUUGCGCAAUGGAGGAAACUCUGACGCAGUGACGCCGCGUAUGGGAAGAAGGUUUUCGGAUUGUAAACCAUUUUAGACAAGGAAGAAACAAGACAGUACUUGUAGAAUAAGCUCCGGCUAACUACGUGCCAGCAGCCGCGGUAAUACGUAGGGAGCAAGCGUUAUCCGGAUUUAUUGGGUGUAAAGGGUGCGUAGACGGGAAGGUAAGUUAGUUGUGAAAUCCCUCGGCUCAACUGAGGAACUGCGACUAAAACUGCUUUUCUUGAGUGCUGGAGAGGAAAGUGGAAUUCCUAGUGUAGCGGUGAAAUGCGUAGAUAUUAGGAGGAACACCAGUGGCGAAGGCGACUUUCUGGACAGUAACUGACGUUGAGGCACGAAAGUGUGGGGAGCAAACAGGAUUAGAUACCCUGGUAGUCCACACCGUAAACGAUGGAUACUAGGUGUAGGGGAUAUUAAGUCUUCUGUGCCGUCGCAAACGCAGUAAGUAUCCC
This 706-nucleotide ribosomal RNA is filed under the name uncultured bacterium. Its description in RNAcentral is "bacterial SSU rRNA". It matches the Rfam family "Bacterial small subunit ribosomal RNA", at positions 149 to 870 of the family's 1533-position model. The record is from RNAcentral.